This 879-nucleotide long non-coding RNA is filed under the name Equus caballus (horse). Its description in RNAcentral is "lncRNA (ENSECAG00000042071.2)". The record is from RNAcentral. Lineage: Eukaryota; Metazoa; Chordata; Mammalia; Perissodactyla; Equidae.
AACAUAGUAAAGUAUGUAUAUAAAAUUACUCUCCAUCCUUCAGGCAAGCCAAAUUCAGUGAUGCUGUUUGAAGACAGGCCAGUAUACCUGAUUGAGAAUCAAAAUGUUGUUAAGGCUAUUUCACUUUUAUUGGUGUAAAAUGCAAACUAAAAAACAUUUAUCUCAACAAUUCCAAAUUUUCUCUCCCACAAAGUUAUUUUUUAACGUGAAAAUAUUGAUUUACUAUUUGUCUAUUAUUAGGACAAAUUCUGCUGACAAUGAAGUUUUGAUCUCUUUGUUCACAAUCAAGAUUCAGACUUCUUUAGGUUACAGACACUCAUACUCAUUUUGAAAAUCCCAGCAAUUUGUUAGGUAACAUUUUUCUGAAAGACUGAAAGGAAUCAGACUACCUGCAGGCAUGGACAGAGUUGGUUACAUGGAAACAGGUCAAAGUCCAGUGACGGUGCAUGUGUUAUUUUGCUCUCUGUGUUCACAGAAAUGGCAGCAGUGCGUGAAGGACAAGGGGGAAGGCAGCACAACAUGGAACCUAGGUGUAAUGACUGUCUCAUUAUGCAGGUGAGCUUCAGCAUUUAUCAUAUAUUUGUUGACCAUUUGUAUGUACUCUUCAUUCAAUGUCUUGUUUAUAUGAUUUGCCCACCUUGCAGUUGGUUUGUUUUUCUUUUGUUUGUUAAUUGCUUAGAACUCUGUCUGUGUUGAUGUUAACUCUAUAUAUGCCCUCUAAAAUGUAAAUUUUUUCCGCAAACUACUUUUGUCUAUUGAUAUUAUGGUAUCUUUUCUUAAAUCCUUAAAAUUUUUUGAAAUCUUCAAAUAUGUCUAUUUGGGAUUUCAAUUAUUAGUUAAGAAGAUUCUUCUAAGCUUAGAAUGUAGAAAGACAGCUCC